GCCCGGUUAGCUCAGAUGGUAGAGCGUGGGACUUUUAAUCCUGAGGUCGAGGGUCCAAGUCCCUCAUCGGGCG
This is a non-coding RNA of Daphnia pulex (common water flea), 73 nucleotides long. Lineage: Eukaryota; Metazoa; Arthropoda; Branchiopoda; Diplostraca; Daphniidae. The record is from Rfam.